ACGCAUGGUCCCAGCGCGCGUGCGCCCCUGAAGGCGGGUUCCGGUGGCAGCGCCGGGGUCUCAGACCCUGAGGAGACUGAGCCCAGCGCCAGGCGACCGGUCCCCGCCGCCGCCGCCCCUGCGCGGGAGAUCCCCCCUGCUUAGUCCGCGCCCGAGCCCCCGUCCGUGGGAACAGACAAGGGGCCUCCGCAGCGCCUCACAACCCCCGACCAGGUCCAGCGGCGGGGGACUCGGCCGUGGAGGGCGCUGUUCGGUCUGGAUGGCUCCCCCCAUCAGCGGGAGGCUACACCCCCCACCAGCAGGGGCAAGAGGAGCAGCGGGAUGGGAGCAGGCCAACGUCCUGCGGCCUGGUUGAGCUCGCACUGACAAUCGCAGGCCCAGUAACCCGCAGGUCACCGCGCUCCCCACCUGCGUUGCUGACGGUGACAUCGUCAGGGGAGGGGGGCGCGCCUUCCCAGAGGCUCAGGUCGCGAGGGUAGCCGGGGUCCGGGCGCGCCGCCGCCUCGUCGUAGCGCCAGUACUGCCGGCCGCGGACCAGCUCAGGCGCUCAGGACUGCCAGGACCCAGAGGAUUCACACGCCAGCCCCGGCUGAAGCCCAGCUCCUCAUCAACCGGUGAGCCGCCUGCCAGCUCCUGCUCCAGCUGCUGAGAGGCCUGAAGAGACCAAGACAGAGACACAGCCCCGCAGCACCACAGGGAGGCCCCAGUUACCCCAUGCGGAUGAGUUUCAUGGCCAUCUCUAACUAAGGACAGGACAUCGAUGUCAUCUGUAACUUCCGGUGCACUGGGGCACACAGCUGCAUCUCCCCAUGCUCACCUCCUGCCUCUUGCUCUGCCCAGUAAGCUCGCCAACCCCCGUGGACUGCUGGCUCUCAAGGCGGCCGCUAGCCCAGCUCCGACAGCAGCUGACAAUGCACAGUAUGCGGCCCAGGGCAGGCCCUGUGCUGAGAGGCAUGGGUGAAUGGCUCAUUUCAUCGGCAAGCCCACGCCACCAGCAGGCGCCGUUCUCCUCGCAUUUCUCAGGCGAGGAACCUGAGACAAUGAGGUUAAGGAAGUUGUUCAUUACAAGUGGAAGAACCCUGACUUACUUGAAUUCAGCUUUGAAGCCCACAUUCUCUUUUUCUGUGUGUGUGACAGGGUCUCACUUUGUCACCCAGGCCGCAGUGCAGUGGUGUGAACACAGCUCAUUGCAGUCUCAACCUCCCUGACUCAAGCAAUCCUCCUGCCUUAGCCUCCUGAGUAGCUGGGACUACAAGCAUGUGCCACCACGCCCAGCCGAAGCCCAUAUGUGAAUGUUGAGGCACACAGCCUCCCCAGCCUCUGCCUUACCAAGCCCUCCACAGGGCCUAGGCACCCUCCCUGGCUGCCCCCUUCCCCCGUCACUCAGGCUCCCCAGCAGCCAAUGUAGUUAAUAUGGGGCUGCAAAGAGCUGGGCCUGGCCUCAGGCGGGACCGCCUCCCCGGCAUUGCCAUCCCUGCUGCAGAGCUCCCAUGCGAUCAGCCUCCUCUCCAGCUGAGACCACAUCCUCACUCAGCUUCUAGGCUGUUCCUGCUCCCCAUUCCCCUCAGCACAUGGCCCCUGAGAAACUGCUUGCACAAGAAUUUCCCUCUGGAGCCCCACCUCUGGGGAACCUGACCUCAGACAGAGGAGACCAAGCUCUAGGGCAGGAUCCUCCACCUCCCUUGCCCCACCGGUGUGGCCAGCCCAGAGCGCUGCAGACUCCCGCCCAGACCUGCACUUGUGCCUGCCUUCUGCCAGCCUGCUCCUCCUCCUCCCACUCUCACACCUGCAUUAACAGCACCAGGACGCCAUCCUCCAAGGGCCCCAGCCUCAUCUCCCCUGUCACCAGGAUCCAGCCAGAUCUCAAUCCUUGCCCAUCCUAACUGAACCUCCCUCAGAUCCGUCCACUGCCCCCUUCCCCAGGACCACACUCCACCAUCUCUUGCCUGGACCCUGCGAGAACUUCCUGCCUCCCUGCCUCUAUCCUACCCCCUGCCCCCCGCUGAAGCUGAUGAUAGUUCCGGAAUGCAAAACCCCUUAAUGAUUCCCCCAUUGAUCAAAGUCUUCCACAUGCUUUCAAGGUCCUUGGUGAUCCAGGACCUGCCGCCUUCUGCAGUCUCCCUACUGAUGCCAUAGUUUUGGCUUCUGGCCUCAUAUGUCCCGGGUCAUUUCUCUGGUCACUGGCUCCUCUUACCCCUGACUCAGCUGGCUCACUGCUUUCCCAUUGGAUCUCAACCCUGUGUACCUGGGGAGAGCGGAACUCUGUAUGUCUUGUCUUGUGCUAGUAGUCACUCAGUGUGUAUGUGUGGAUAUUCAUAUAUAUAUAUAUAUAUAUUUGA
Long non-coding RNA from Homo sapiens (human), 2339 nucleotides. RefSeq annotates it as MMP25 antisense RNA 1. The transcript has 5 exons. The record is from RefSeq and is marked validated. NCBI's taxonomy places the organism in Eukaryota, Metazoa, Chordata, Mammalia, Primates, Hominidae.